GAUGAAGAACGCAGUGAAAUGCGAUAAGUAAUGUGAAUUGCAGAAUUCAGUGAAUCAUCGAAUCUUUGAACGCACAUUGCGCCCGCCAGUAUUCUGGCGGGCAUGCCUGUUCGAGCGUCAUUUCAACCAUCAAGCCCCCGGCUUGUGUUGGGGACCUGCGGCUGCCCGCAGGCCCUGAAAACCAGUGGCGGGCUCGCUGUCACUCCGAGCGUAGUAGCAUAUAUCUCGCUCAGGGCGUGCUGCGGGUUCCGGCCGUUAAAAGCCUUUUUUUACCCAAGGUUGACCUCGGAUCAGGUAGGAAGACCCGCUGAACUUAAGCAUAUCAAUAAGCGGAGGA
Molecule: unclassified non-coding RNA, 337 nt
Filed under: soil metagenome
Description: partial contains 5.8S ribosomal RNA, internal transcribed spacer 2, and large subunit ribosomal RNA
Rfam family: 5.8S ribosomal RNA (bases 1-120)
Source: RNAcentral